CGGGAGUACACGAGCGGCGAACGGGUGAGUAACACGUGAGCAACCUGCCCUUCUCAUCGGAAUAAGCGUUGGAAACGACGUCUAAUGCCGAAUACGACCUCAGAAGGCAUCUUCAGAGGUGGAAAGCUCCGGCGGAGAAGGAUGGGCUCGCGGCCUAUCAGCUUGUUGGUGGGGUAACGGCCCACCAAGGCGACGACGGGUAGCCGGCCUGAGAGGGUGACCGGCCACACUGGGACUGAGACACGGCCCAGACUCCUACGGGAGGCAGCAGUGGGGAAUAUUGGACAAUGGGCGAAAGCCUGAUCCAGCAACGCCGCGUGAGGGAUGACGGCCUUCGGGUUGUAAACCUCUUUCAGCACCGACGAAGCGAAAGUGACGGUAGGUGCAGAAGAAGGACCGGCCAACUACGUGCCAGCAGCCGCGGUAAUACGUAGGGUCCGAGCGUUGUCCGGAAUUAUUGGGCGUAAAGGGCUCGUAGGCGGUUUGUCGCGUCGGGAGUGAAAACUCAGGGCUCAACCCUGAGCGUGCUUCCGAUACGGGCAGACUAGAGGUAUGCAGGGGAGAACGGAAUUCCUGGUGUAGCGGUGGAAUGCGCAGAU
Molecule: ribosomal RNA, 599 nt
Filed under: Aeromicrobium halocynthiae
Lineage: Bacteria; Bacillati; Actinomycetota; Actinomycetes; Propionibacteriales; Nocardioidaceae
Description: bacterial SSU rRNA
Rfam family: Bacterial small subunit ribosomal RNA
Source: RNAcentral